This is a long non-coding RNA of Eubalaena glacialis (North Atlantic right whale), 323 nucleotides long. RefSeq lists it as uncharacterized. The transcript is spliced from 3 exons. The record is from RefSeq and is a predicted model, not a curated record. Lineage: Eukaryota; Metazoa; Chordata; Mammalia; Artiodactyla; Balaenidae.
GAAUCUAGGAGGCUGUGCCUCCGGGUCGCGCGAAGAGUCUAAGUCAUUGCUCAGAAACCUCUGAUAGGUGGGCCUUAGCGGAAACGCCGCCGGCCAUGAUGCCUCAGAGGCCUGGGGUUCCUGAGGCAGAGGGGGAAGCUGCUUUUUCAAAGCGAAUUAAAUGAGAGUAACCACAGCCGCCACAAAGGAGGGCAAAAACAGAAACCCACCUGGAGGAACCAGCUGAUCCAGAGGAGAGCACCGCGAGAAUCAGGAAACGCAUCCCUGUCUGUCUGCCUGGGAAGAGACCUAGAAACUGGCACGUCUCUGAGGGAAGAUGAGGA